Molecule: small nucleolar RNA, 85 nt
Organism: Artibeus jamaicensis (Jamaican fruit-eating bat)
Lineage: Eukaryota; Metazoa; Chordata; Mammalia; Chiroptera; Phyllostomidae
Product: small nucleolar RNA SNORA17
Exons: 1
Source: RefSeq, a predicted model, not a curated record
UCUACGACCCCCUACAAAUGUCUGCCUCACAUUUGUAGGGGGUCGUAGAGAACAGAUAGGAUAUGCAGGCCCAUAUCCUAACGCC